UAGGGUGAAGUCGUAACAAGGUAGCCGUAGGAGAACCUGCGGCUGGAUCACCUCCUUUCUAAGGAAUAUU
RNAcentral lists this ribosomal RNA (70 nucleotides) under Lactiplantibacillus plantarum. RNAcentral describes it as "Lactobacillus plantarum partial 16S ribosomal RNA". The stretch from base 1 to 58 matches the Rfam family "Bacterial small subunit ribosomal RNA", at positions 1476 to 1533 of the family's 1533-position model. The record is from RNAcentral. Lineage: Bacteria; Bacillati; Bacillota; Bacilli; Lactobacillales; Lactobacillaceae.